This 315-nucleotide ribosomal RNA is filed under the name uncultured bacterium. RNAcentral describes it as "bacterial SSU rRNA". It matches the Rfam family "Bacterial small subunit ribosomal RNA", at positions 28 to 334 of the family's 1533-position model. The record is from RNAcentral.
GAUGAACGCUAGCGGCAGGCUUAACACAUGCAAGUCGAGGGGCAGCAUAAAACGUUGCUUGCAACGUUUGGUGGCGACCGGCGCACGGGUGCGUAACGCGUAUGCAACCUACCUGUAACAGGGGGAUAACACUGAGAAAUUGGUACUAAUACCCCGUAACAUCAGAUGAGGCAUCUUAUUUGGUUGAAAGUUCCGGCGGUUACAGAUGGGCAUGCGUUGUAUUAGCUAGUUGGAGAGGUAACGGCUCACCAAGGCGACGAUACAUAGGGGGACUGAGAGGUUAACCCCCCACAUUGGUACUGAGACACGGACCAA